GAAGCGGCAACAGCUCAAAUUUGAAAUCUGGCGCGAGCCCGAGUUGUAAUUUGUAGAGGAUGCUUCGGGGCAGCGGCCGGUCUAAGUCUCUUGGAACGGGGCGUCAUAGAGGGUGAGAACCCCGUAUGCGACCGGUUGGCACCCGUCACGUAGCUCCUUCGACGAGUCGAGUUGUUUGGGAAUGCAGCUCUAAAUGGGAGGUAAAUUUCUUCUAAAGCUAAAUACCGGCCAGAGACCGAUAGCGCACAAGUAGAGUGAUCGAAAGAUGAAAAGCACUUUGGAAAGAGAGUUAAAAAGCACGUGAAAUUGUUGAAAGGGAAGCGCAUGCAACCAGACUUGUCGGCGGUGUUCCGCCGGUCUUCUGACCGGUCCAUUCGCCGCCGGCAGGCCAGCAUCAUCUGGGCGCGCCGGACAAAGGCGUGGGGAAUGUAGCUCCUCGGAGUGUUAUAGCCCUGCGCACAAUACGGCGCCGCCUGGGUGAGGUCCGCGCUUCGGCUAGGAUGCUGGCGUAAUGGUUGUCUGCGGCCCGUCUUGAAACACGGACCAAGGAGUCUAACAUCUAUGCGAGUGUUUGGGUGUCAAACCCUGACGCGUAAUGAAAGUGAACGGAGGUGGGAAGCGUGAGCUGCACCAUCGACCGAUCCUGAUGUCUUCGGAUGGAUUUGAGUAAGAGCAUAGCUGUUGGGACCCGAAAGAUGGUGAACUAUGCCUGGAUAGGGUGAAGCCAGAGGAAACUCUGGUGGA
Molecule: ribosomal RNA, 744 nt
Filed under: Teratosphaeria juvenalis
Lineage: Eukaryota; Fungi; Ascomycota; Dothideomycetes; Mycosphaerellales; Teratosphaeriaceae
Description: eukaryotic LSU rRNA
Rfam family: Eukaryotic large subunit ribosomal RNA
Source: RNAcentral